AUUGCCCUAGUAACGGCGAGUGAAGCGGCAACAGCUCAAAUUUGAAAUCUGGCCCUCGGGUCCGAGUUGUAAUUUGUAGAGGAUGCUUUUGGUGCGGUACCUUCCGAGUUCCCUGGAACGGGACGCCAUAGAGGGUGAGAGCCCCGUCUGGUUGGAUGCCAAUCCUCUGUAAAGCUCCUUCGACGAGUCGAGUAGUUUGGGAAUGCUGCUCUAAAUGGGAGGUAUAUGUCUUCUAAAGCUAAAUACCGGCCAGAGACCGAUAGCGCACAAGUAGAGUGAUCGAAAGAUGAAAAGCACUUUGAAAAGAGAGUUAAAAAGUACGUGAAAUUGUUGAAAGGGAAGCGCUUAUGACCAGACUUGGGCUUGGUUGAUCAUCCUGGGUUCUCCCUGGUGCACUCUUCCAGUUCAGGCCAGCAUCAGUUUGCUUCGGGGGAUAAAGGUUUCGGGAAUGUGGCUCCCUCGGGAGUGUUAUAGCCCGUUUCGUAAUACCCUGGGACAGACUGAGGUUCGCGCAUCUGCAAGGAUGCUGGCGUAAUGGUCAUCAGCGACCCGUCUUGAAACACGGACCAAGGAGUCGUCUUCGUAUGCGAGUGUUCGGGUGUUAAACCCCUACGCGUAAUGAAAGUGAACGCAGGUGAGAGCUUCGGCGCAUCAUCGACCGAUCCUGAUGUUCUCGGAUGGAUUUGAGUAAGAGCAUACGGGGCCGGACCCGAAAGAAGGUGAACUAUGCCUGUAUAGGGUGAAGCCAGAGGAAACUCUGGUGGAGGCUCGCAGCGGUUCUGACGUGCAAAUCGAUCGUCAAAUAUGGGCAUGGGGGCGAAAGACUAAU
RNAcentral lists this ribosomal RNA (829 nucleotides) under Aquanectria penicillioides. RNAcentral's name for it is "eukaryotic LSU rRNA". It matches the Rfam family "Eukaryotic large subunit ribosomal RNA", at positions 74 to 935 of the family's 3401-position model. The record is from RNAcentral. Lineage: Eukaryota; Fungi; Ascomycota; Sordariomycetes; Hypocreales; Nectriaceae.